UACAGGGGGUGCAAACGUUGCUCGGAAUCAUUGGGCGUAAAGCGCACGUAGGCGGUCUGUUAUGUCGGAUGUGAAAGCCCUUGGCUCAACUGAGGAAGUGCAUCCGAAACUGGCAGGCUAGAGUACUAAAGAGGGUCGCGGAAUUCCCGGUGUAGAGGUGAAAUUCGUAGAUAUUCGGAGGAACACCAGUGGCGAAGGCGGCUCACUGGUCCGGUACUGACGCUGAGGUGCGAAAGCGUGGGGAGCAAACAGG
This 253-nucleotide ribosomal RNA is filed under the name uncultured bacterium. RNAcentral's name for it is "partial 16S ribosomal RNA". It matches the Rfam family "Bacterial small subunit ribosomal RNA", at positions 524 to 776 of the family's 1533-position model. The record is from RNAcentral.